AUUGAACGCUGGCGGCAGGCCUAACACAUGCAAGUCGAACGGUAACAGGAAGAAGCUUGCUUCUUUGCUGACGAGUGGCGGACGGGUGAGUAAUGUCUGGGAAACUGCCUGAUGGAGGGGGAUAACUACUGGAAACGGUAGCUAAUACCGCAUAACGUCGCAAGACCAAAGAGGGGGACCUUCGGGCCUCUUGCCAUCGGAUGUGCCCAGAUGGGAUUAGCUAGUAGGUGGGGUAACGGCUCACCUAGGCGACGAUCCCUAGCUGGUCUGAGAGGAUGACCAGCCACACUGGAACUGAGACACGGUCCAGACUCCUACGGGAGGCAGCAGUGGGGAAUAUUACACAAAGGGCGCAAGCCUGAUGCAGCCAUGCCGCGUGUAUGAAGAAGGCCUUCGGGUUGUAAAGUACUUUCAGCGGGGAGGAAGGGAGUAAAGUUAAUACCUUUGCUCAUUGACGUUACCCGCAGAAGAAGCACCGGCUAACUCCGUG
This 490-nucleotide ribosomal RNA is filed under the name uncultured bacterium. Its description in RNAcentral is "partial 16S ribosomal RNA". It matches the Rfam family "Bacterial small subunit ribosomal RNA", at positions 30 to 507 of the family's 1533-position model. The record is from RNAcentral.